RNAcentral lists this ribosomal RNA (2466 nucleotides) under Enterobacter hormaechei. Its description in RNAcentral is "partial 23S ribosomal RNA". The record is from RNAcentral. Lineage: Bacteria; Pseudomonadati; Pseudomonadota; Gammaproteobacteria; Enterobacterales; Enterobacteriaceae.
GAUGAAGGACGUGCUAAUCUGCGAAAAGCGCCGGCGAGGUGAUAUGAACCCUUGACCCGGCGAUGUCCGAAUGGGGAAACCCAGUGCAAUCCGUUGCACUAUCGUUAACUGAAUACAUAGGUUAACGAGGCGAACCGGGGGAACUGAAACAUCUAAGUACCCCGAGGAAAAGAAAUCAACCGAGAUUCCCCCAGUAGCGGCGAGCGAACGGGGAGCAGCCCGGAGUCUGAAUCAGCUUGUGUGUUAGUGGAACGGUCUGGAAAGUCCGACGGUACAGGGUGAWAGUCCCGUACACGAAAGCACACAUGCUGUGAACUCGAAGAGUAGGGCGGGACACGUGGUAUCCUGUCUGAAUAUGGGGGGACCAUCCUCCAAGGCUAAAUACUCCUGACUGACCGAUAGUGAACCAGUACCGUGAGGGAAAGGCGAAAAGAACCCCGGCGAGGGGAGUGAAAAAGAACCUGAAACCGUGUACGUACAAGCAGUGGGAGCCUCUUUAUGGGGUGACUGCGUACCUUUUGUAUAAUGGGUCAGCGACUUAUAUUCUGUAGCAAGGUUAACCGUAUAGGGGAGCCGAAGGGAAACCGAGUCUUAACUGGGCGUUAAGUUGCAGGGUAUAGACCCGAAACCCGGUGAUCUAGCCAUGGGCAGGUUGAAGGUUGGGUAACACUAACUGGAGGACCGAACCGACUAAUGUUGAAAAAUUAGCGGAUGACCUGUGGCUGGGGGUGAAAGGCCAAUCAAACCGGGAGAUAGCUGGUUCUCCCCGAAAGCUAUUUAGGUAGCGCCUCGUGAAYUCAUCUUCGGGGGUAGAGCACUGUUUCGGCUAGGGGGCCAUCCCGGCUUACCAACCCGAUGCAAACUACGAAUACCGAAGAAUGUUAUCACGGGAGACACACGGCGGGUGCUAACGUCCGUCGUGAAGAGGGAAACAACCCAGACCGCCAGCUAAGGUCCCAAAGUCAUGGUUAAGUGGGAAACGAUGUGGGAAGGCACAGACAGCCAGGAUGUUGGCUUAGAAGCAGCCAUCAUUUAAAGAAAGCGUAAUAGCUCACUGGUCGAGUCGGCCUGCGCGGAAGAUGUAACGGGGCUAAACCAUGCACCGAAGCUGCGGCAGCGACGCUUAUGCGUUGUUGGGUAGGGGAGCGUUCUGUAAGCCGUUGAAGGUGKSCUGUGAGGSWUGCUGGAGGUAUCAGAAGUGCGAAUGCUGACAUAAGUAACGAUAAAGCGGGUGAAAAGCCCGCUCGCCGGAAGACCAAGGGUUCCUGUCCAACGUUAAUCGGGGCAGGGUGAGUCGACCCCUAAGGCGAGGCCGAAAGGCGUAGUCGAUGGGAAACAGGUUAAUAUUCCUGUACUUGGUGUUACUGCGAAGGGGGGACGGAGAAGGCUAUGUCAGCCGGGCGACGGUUGUCCCGGUUUAAGCAUGUAGGCGGAGGUUCCAGGUAAAUCCGGUACCUUUUAACGCUGAGGUGUGAUGACGAGGCACUACGGUGCUGAAGUGAUAAAUGCCCUGCUUCCAGGAAAAGCCUCUAAGCAUCAGGUAACACGAAAUCGUACCCCAAACCGACACAGGUGGUCAGGUAGAGAAUACCAAGGCGCUUGAGAGAACUCGGGUGAAGGAACUAGGCAAAAUGGUGCCGUAACUUCGGGAGAAGGCACGCUGAURUGUAGGUGAAGCCCCUGCGGGCGGAGCUGAAAUCAGUCGAAGAUACCAGCUGGCUGCAACUGUUUAUUAAAAACACAGCACUGUGCAAACACGAAAGUGGACGUAUACGGUGUGACGCCUGCCCGGUGCCGGAAGGUUAAUUGAUGGGGUUAGCGGCAACGCGAAGCUCUUGAUCGAAGCCCCGGUAAACGGCGGCCGUAACUAUAACGGUCCUAAGGUAGCGAAAUUCCUUGUCGGGUAAGUUCCGACCUGCACGAAUGGCGUAAUGAUGGCCAGGCUGUCUCCACCCGAGACUCAGUGAAAUUGAACUCGCUGUGAAGAUGCAGUGUACCCGCGGCAAGACGGAAAGACCCCGUGAACCUUUACUAUAGCUUGACACUGAACACUGGUCCUUGAUGUGUAGGAUAGGUGGGAGGCUUUGAAGCGUGGACGCCAGUCUGCGUGGAGCCAACCUUGAAAUACCACCCUUUAAUGGCUGGUGUUCUAACGURGACCCGUWAYCCGGGUUGCGGACAGUGUCUGGUGGGUAGUUUGACUGGGGCGGUCUCCUCCCAAAGAGUAACGGAGGAGCACGAAGGUUGGCUAAUCCUGGUCGGACAUCAGGAGGUUAGUGCAAUGGCAUAAGCCAGCUUGACUGCGAGCGUGACGGCGCGAGCAGGUGCGAAAGCAGGUCAUAGUGAUCCGGUGGUUCUGAAUGGAAGGGCCAUCGCUCAACGGAUAAAAGGUACUCCGGGGAUAACAGGCUGAUACCGCCCAAGAGUUCAUAUCGACGGCGGUGUUUGGCACCUCGAUGUCGGCUC